Molecule: long non-coding RNA, 905 nt
Organism: Ananas comosus (pineapple)
Lineage: Eukaryota; Viridiplantae; Streptophyta; Magnoliopsida; Poales; Bromeliaceae
Exons: 7
Source: RefSeq, a predicted model, not a curated record
CUGAUGCUUAUUUGUAUAAGCUCAGAGAAAUAGGGUUUAAACCCUCUCCUCUCUUUCUCUUUCUAGGUUUUUCUAUUUGGAAGUGAGGUUGGUGAUUUGAGCUCACUAUUUUUUUCCCUUCUCUUGUGUUAACUGGUUUAAAGACUUGAGGAUCAGCUCUUGGAACGUGGGAGAUAUGUUUUGCUGAGUUUUCUCAACCCUAACGCAGCUGGUAGUUGAAUUGAAGUGGUGAUGAGCUGGUUUCGGGGAUGCUUCCAGCAACUAUAGAAGCAAGUUUUUGCUGUAGUUCUUCAACUCUAAUCCAGGGGAAAAACUGAAGUGAAACUUUAAGAAGCGGUUUAGAUAUUCACUUUGAGCUGAAUAUUGGGGCUCUUGUGAGCUAGUUUGAGGUGUUUCAACUGGAGGUUGAGCUGAACUAAAUCUGUGGGAAGGUAGAUCGUGGCAGGCUUGCAGCGAACCAUUUGAUCUUUUUCGGGUGAAUUUUGGAAGCUUUCAAAGGUUGAAAUUGGUGUUCUACCCUAAAACGAAGUGGUGAUUCAAGUAUUAGCAUUAUACUAGGGUACUCGGAGGCUACGGAUUAUCCUUGUUCGUGGGGUCGACACGAGUCGUCGAUUACUUGAACUAAUUGGUCCAUUCACGAAUUUAUCAUUCUAUCCUCGUGGAUAACAUCAAGCCAAAUUGCAUAUGCAAGCUACUAAUAUCAUGAAUCCAUAGUACUUAACAGAGCCUUCCACAGCGGGAAAGGCUAGGGUUCUUGGCGAGGGAUCAGCGGCUAGCUAGAGCCUUCUCGAUGUUAAAUAGAUGAACCUCUACUAGUUUAAUUUGGGUUUAGUUCUGUGUUGUAUAUUGGACUUAUAUAAAAUAUACUUUACUUUUAAGUUGUAAUAAAGUUUUGUAUUGUAUAA